UACGGGAGGCAGCAGUGAGGAAUAUUGGACAAUGGAGGCAACUCUGAUCCAGCCAUGCCGCGUGCAGGAUGACGGCCCUAUGGGUUGUAAACUGCUUUUAUACAGGAAGAAACCUUGGUACGUGUACCAAGCUGACGGUACUGUAAGAAUAAGGAUCGGCUAACUCCGUGCCAGCAGCCGCGGUAAU
Molecule: ribosomal RNA, 187 nt
Filed under: uncultured bacterium
Lineage: Bacteria
Description: partial 16S ribosomal RNA
Rfam family: Bacterial small subunit ribosomal RNA
Source: RNAcentral